UUUGUUCGGAGAGUUUGAUUCUGGCUCAGGACGAACGCUGGCGGCGUGCUUAACACAUGCAAGUCGAACGGAAAGGCCCUUCGGGGUACUCGAGUGGCGAACGGGUGAGUAACACGUGGGUGAUCUGCCCUGCACUUUGGGAUAAGCCUGGGAAACUGGGUCUAAUACCGAAUAUGACUGCGCACUGCCUGGUGUGUGGUGGAAAGCUUUUGCGGUGUGGGAUGGGCCCGCGGCCUAUCAGCUUGUUGGUGGGGUAAUGGCCUACCAAGGCGACGACGGGUAGCCGGCCUGAGAGGGUGACCGGCCACACUGGGACUGAGAUACGGCCCAGACUCCUACGGGAGGCAGCAGUGGGGAAUAUUGCACAAUGGGCGCAAGCCUGAUGCAGCGACGCCGCGUGAGGGAUGACGGCCUUCGGGUUGUAAACCUCUUUCAAUAGGGACGAAGCGCAAGUGACGGUACCUAUAGAAGAAGGACCGGCCAACUACGUGCCAGCAGCCGCGGUAAUACGUAGGGUCCGAGCGUUGUCCGGAAUUACUGGGCGUAAAGAGCUCGUAGGUGGUUUGUCGCGUUGUUCGUGAAAACUCACAGCUUAACUGUGGGCGUGCGGGCGAUACGGGCAGACUAGAGUACUGCAGGGGAGACUGGAAUUCCUGGUGUAGCGGUGGAAUGCGCAGAUAUCAGGAGGAACACCGGUGGCGAAGGCGGGUCUCUGGGCAGUAACUGACGCUGAGGAGCGAAAGCGUGGGGAGCGAACAGGAUUAGAUACCCUGGUAGUCCACGCCGUAAACGGUGGGUACUAGGUGUGGGUUUCCUUCCUUGGGAUCCGUGCCGUAGCUAACGCAUUAAGUACCCCGCCUGGGGAGUACGGCCGCAAGGCUAAAACUCAAAGAAAUUGACGGGGGCCCGCACAAGCGGCGGAGCAUGUGGAUUAAUUCGAUGCAACGCGAAGAACCUUACCUGGGUUUGACAUGCACAGGACGCCGGCAGAGAUGUCGGUUCCCUUGUGGCCUGUGUGCAGGUGGUGCAUGGCUGUCGUCAGCUCGUGUCGUGAGAUGUUGGGUUAAGUCCCGCAACGAGCGCAACCCUUGUCUCAUGUUGCCAGCACGUUAUGGUGGGGACUCGUGAGAGACUGCCGGGGUCAACUCGGAGGAAGGUGGGGAUGACGUCAAGUCAUCAUGCCCCUUAUGUCCAGGGCUUCACACAUGCUACAAUGGCCGGUACAAAGGGCUGCGAUGCCGUGAGGUGGAGCGAAUCCUUUCAAAGCCGGUCUCAGUUCGGAUCGGGGUCUGCAACUCGACCCCGUGAAGUCGGAGUCGCUAGUAAUCGCAGAUCAGCAACGCUGCGGUGAAUACGUUCCCGGGCCUUGUACACACCGCCCGUCACGUCAUGAAAGUCGGUAACACCCGAAGCCGGUGGCCUAACCCUUGUGGAGGGAGCCGUCGAAGGUGGGAUCGGCGAUUGGGACGAAGUCGUAACAAGGUAGCCGUACCGGAAGGUGCGGCUGGAUCACCUCCUUUCU
This 1522-nucleotide ribosomal RNA is filed under the name Mycobacterium sp. 6926/08. RNAcentral describes it as "bacterial SSU rRNA". It matches the Rfam family "Bacterial small subunit ribosomal RNA". The record is from RNAcentral. Lineage: Bacteria; Bacillati; Actinomycetota; Actinomycetes; Mycobacteriales; Mycobacteriaceae.